This 209-nucleotide ribosomal RNA is filed under the name uncultured bacterium. RNAcentral describes it as "partial 16S ribosomal RNA". It matches the Rfam family "Bacterial small subunit ribosomal RNA", at positions 524 to 732 of the family's 1533-position model. The record is from RNAcentral.
GACAGAGGUGCCGAGCGUUAGGCGGAAUCACUGGGCUUAAAGCGUGUGUAGGCGGGUCGUUAAGUGUCUUGUGAAAUCCCACCGCUCAACGGUGGAACUGCUGGGCAUACUGGCGAUCUUGAGCCACCUAAGGGGCAGACGGAACAAGCGGUGGAGCGGUGAAAUGCGUAGAUAUCGCUGGAACGCCGACGGUGAAAACAGUCUGCCUG